Molecule: unclassified non-coding RNA, 253 nt
Filed under: uncultured Caryophanales bacterium
Lineage: Bacteria; Bacillati; Bacillota; Bacilli; Caryophanales
Description: uncultured Bacillales bacterium contains 16S-23S intergenic spacer region
Rfam family: Bacterial small subunit ribosomal RNA
Source: RNAcentral
UACGUAGGUGGCGAGCGUUGUCCGGAAUUAUUGGGCGUAAAGCGCGCGCAGGCGGCCUGGUAAGUCUGAUGUGAAAGCCCCCGGCUCAACCGGGGACGGCCAUUGGAAACUGGCAGGCUUGAGUAUAGGAGAGAAGAGUGGAAUUCCACGUGUAGCGGUGAAAUGCGUAGAGAUGUGGAGGAACACCAGUGGCGAAGGCGGCCCUUUGGCAUAUAACUGACGCUGAGGCGCGAAAGCGUGGGGAGCAAACAGG